UCCAGUAGACAAAACUGUAAAGUUUGGGUGCAGAAACAAUUUAUACAGAUAUACUGGCAGAUCAACAUGCGACUACAUUUCUCUCCAAUGUGGUAGGAAAUUAAAUUAAAUUGAAUGUGGAGGAUUUUAACUGUGACAAGAGGAUUGACAGGGCAGUUUAAACGGUGACAGGAGCAACACAGUGUCCGUUAAAGAUGAUGAAGUAGUGUAUGUCCCAAAGCUUGUCUACUCUUCUGCUACACACUCAAAGUAUGUACUUUUUCUUCACAAAAACAGUACUGUCACGGUUCAUGGGUUCACUGACUCACCCUCAUGUGGAUGUUUGAGGAUGUGCGUGAGUAUAUUGUGUGGGCGUUACCUUGUUUAUGACUGAUUGUGAUCUGUGUCAGCUGUGUCUUGUUUCAGUGUUCUAUUUAAUGUGUGUGCCAACGUGUUGUGUUUGUCAGAUCGUUGCAGGCUGUCCUGGUGUGUGCUCGCUCCCUUCCUUUGUGUCUUUCCGGAUUUUGGAUUCUCUGGACUGUUCGUGUGUUGCCCUGUUCUCUGGGCUGGAUUAUUCCCUCAGUCUCUGGUACCCAUUGCAGCCCUGCGUCACCCAGCCCACCACCUUCGGUUUCACGCCUGCCAAUGUUCUCUUGUUUAUUGUUCUCUGAACAUCUGUCAAUAAACCUGUAUUUACUUGCAUUUGGAUCUUCUGUACUUCUUUGUCGCUGACGCUGACAGAACGAUCUGACCAAAUGGAUCCAGCGAGAUUGUCCGACUUACAUGAAUAUCAGAGUAAGAAUGCCCAGCGCAUGGACCAGCAAGAGGAGCAGGUAUUGGCUACUGCUCGGGUCGUACAGGCUUUGGUGACGCAGGUGACCGAGCUUACUACCCAAGUUCAACAUCUGUCAUCGCCCACUGCGCCAGCCACACUGUCCGUUUCCCACCCACCAGUGAACAUCAACAACCAACACGAGCCACGUAUUCCAACACCUGAGAGGUAUGCUGGAGAACCGAAUCUGUGUAGAUCAUUUUUAACGAAAUGUUCUAUUUUUUUCUCUCUGCAACCUAUAACGUUUUCUUCGGAGGAGUCUAAGGUGGCGUUGGUCAUGACGCUGCUGUCAGGACUUGCGGCGUUGUGGGGAACGGCGGUGUGGGAGAAUAACCAUCCAUGCUGCUCCUCGUUCCUUACACUCUCCCAGGAGAUGAGGAGGGUCUUCGAUCGCACUGUGGUGGGUCGGGAGGCAGCACGUAAACUCGCUGAUCUUUGCCAAGGAAAUAGACCCGUUUCGGAUUACGCGAUUGAAUUCCGGACGUUGGCAGUGGAGUGUAAGUGGAAUGCGAGGAGGCGCAGUGGGAUAUGUUCCUGCAUGGGCUGGCUGACCGUGUGCAACAGGAGGUCUACACCUUGGAGUUACCAGUAAAACUCGACGGACUGAUUGAGCUGGCGUUACGAGUGGAUGCUCGUUUACAAGAACGCGUGGAUCGUACGCGGUCAGUGUCAAGGUUCGACUAUACGGAGGACACUGGUGCCAGUGGGUGUAACACAGUCAGUCAUCCAGUCGAACACGAGCCCAUGCAGGUGGGUAGAGCUCGGCUCUCCCGGGAGGAGAGAGAACAUCGGAGAGAGAGAGGACUUUGUAUGUACUGUGGUAAAGCUGGACAUUUCCUGAGAGAAUGUCCCGUAAAAGGUCUAGCCCUAGUAGUAGCGAGGUUACUGUUGGGUGAGUUAACCAUGGAGAAAUCCUCUUGAGCGACUCUCCUUCCUGUGAGACUGCAAUGGGUAUCGGGGUAUUACAGCUGCCAGGCACUGAUCGACUCAGGAGCAGAGGGGAACCUUCUGGAUUAUUCAUUGGCUAAACAUUUACGUAUUCCUAUAUUUCCACUUAAUCAGUCCAUCUCGGUACAUGCUCUCAACGGUCAAGAAUUGCCGACCAUCACGCAUACCACGGGAUCUUUGACACUCAUCACAUCCGGUAAUCACAAAGAACAGACUUCUUUUUUCAUCUCCAGGUCUCCGCUUGUGCCCGUCGUACUGAGUCAUCCGUGGCUGGUCAAGCACAGACCCAGGAUUGGGGCCAGGGUUCGGUGGCGGAAUGGAGUAACCACUGUCACGCCUCUUGUUUGUUUUCAGUACUUGGUGGACUGGGAAGGUUACAGUCCGGAGGAGAGAAGUCCGGGUCCCUGCCAGGGACAUCCUGGAUCACUCUCUGAUUGAUGAUUACAAUCAACAGAUCGUUGCAGGCUGUCCUGGUGUGUGCUCGCUCCCUUCCUUUGUGUCUUCCCGGAUUUUGGAUUCUCUGGACUGUUCGUGUGUUGCCCUGUUUUCUGGGCUGGAUUAUUCCCUCGGUCUCUGGUACCCAUUGCAGCCCUGCGUCACCCAGCCCACCACCUUCGGUUUCACGCCUGCCAAUGUUCUCUUGUUUAUUGUUCUCUGAACAUCUGUCAAUAAACCUGUAUUUACUCGCA
This is a long non-coding RNA of Ctenopharyngodon idella (grass carp), 2448 nucleotides long. RefSeq lists it as uncharacterized. The transcript has 2 exons. The record is from RefSeq and is a predicted model, not a curated record. Lineage: Eukaryota; Metazoa; Chordata; Actinopteri; Cypriniformes; Xenocyprididae.